AUGAACGCAUCCGUUAAGCAAACACCUACCCCGCGCCAGCUGUGUGAAACGCUGGAAGCACUGGGCAUUUGGAAUACACCAGGCUGUACCGGAGACAAAGCCCCUACCCCGCCCGAAGGCUGUGGGCUGACCACGGAGCCCAUCAGUGCCCUGGACGAGAGCAGUCAAGUGGAGAGCUGGAGAAAGGGACCAGCAUGGAAGGGCGAGAGAGGCGUGGAGGCACCAGACAACUCCAUCCGAAGCGGGUGGAGACCUGGGCUGGACCUGGAAGGUCCCUGUGGGAUUCCCCACAAUUCUGCUGUCGGACGAACUGGUACAAACGUCAGCCAGACCCAGCGUUUAUGCUUCUUCCUGAAGACUUCUAGCAGUUGCCUGGAGUUUGCCAUAUUCACAUAG
RNAcentral lists this long non-coding RNA (396 nucleotides) under Oryctolagus cuniculus (rabbit). RNAcentral's name for it is "lncRNA (ENSOCUG00000031782.1)". The record is from RNAcentral. Lineage: Eukaryota; Metazoa; Chordata; Mammalia; Lagomorpha; Leporidae.